RNAcentral lists this ribosomal RNA (927 nucleotides) under uncultured Gammaproteobacteria bacterium. RNAcentral's name for it is "bacterial SSU rRNA". It matches the Rfam family "Bacterial small subunit ribosomal RNA", at positions 524 to 1448 of the family's 1533-position model. Lineage: Bacteria; Pseudomonadati; Pseudomonadota; Gammaproteobacteria. The record is from RNAcentral.
UACGGAGGGUGCAAGCGUUUAUUGGAAUUACUGGGGCGUAAAAGCGCGGGUAGGUGGUUUGAUAAGCGAGAUGUGAAAGCCCCGGGCUUCGACCUGGGAACGGCAUUUUGAACUGUCAGGCUUAGAGUUUGGUAGAGGAGUGUGGAAUUUCCUGUGUAGCGGUGAAAUGCGUAGAUAUAGGAAGGAACACCAGUGGCGAAGGCGGCACUCUGGACCAAUACUGACACUGAGGGACGAAAGCGUGGGUAGCGAACCGGAUUAGAUACCCGGGUAGUCCACGCCCUAAACGAUGGAUGCUAGUUGUCGGGCAGCAUGCUGUUCGGUGACGCAGCUAACGCACUAAGUAGACCGCCUGGGGAGUACGGCCGCAAGGUUAAAACUCAAAUGAAUUGACGGGGGCCCGCACAAGCGGUGGAGCAUGUGGUUUAAUUCGACGCAACGCGAAGAACCUUACCUGGCCUUGACAUGCUGAGAACUUUCCAGAGAUGGAUUGGUGCCUUCGGGAACUCAGACACAGGUGCUGCAUGGCCGUCGUCAGCUCGUGUCGUGAGAUGUUGGGUUAAGUCCCGUAACGAGCGCAACCCCUAUCCCUAGUUGCUAGCAGUUCGGCUGAGAACUCUAGGGAGACUGCCGGUGACAAACCGGAGGAAGGUGGGGAUGACGUCAGGUCAUCAUGGCCCUUACGGCCAGGGCUACACACGUGCUACAAUGGCGCGCACAGAGGGCUGCAAACCCGCGAGGGGGAGCCAAUCUCACAAAACGCGUCGUAGUCCGGAUCGGAGUCUGCAACUCGACUCCGUGAAGUCGGAAUCGCUAGUAAUCGCGGAUCAGAAUGCCGCGGUGAAUACAUUCCCGGGCCUUGUACACACCGCCCGUCACACCAUGGGAGUGGAUUGCAAAAGAAGUAGGUAGCUUAACCUUCGGGAG